UUAAGUUAUUAAGGGCGCACGGUGGAUGCCUUGGCACUAGAAGCCGAUGAAGGACGUUACUAACGACGAUAUGCUUUGGGGAGCUGUAAGUAAGCUUUGAUCCAGAGAUUUCCGAAUGGGGAAACCCAGCAUGAGUUAUGUCAUGUUAUCGAUAUGUGAAUACAUAGCAUAUCAGAAGGCACACCCGGAGAACUGAAACAUCUUAGUACCCGGAGGAAGAGAAAGAAAAUUCGAUUCCCUUAGUAGCGGCGAGCGAAACGGGAAGAGCCCAAACCAACAAGCUUGCUUGUUGGGGUUGUAGGACACUCUAUACGGAGUUACAAAGGACGACAUUAGACGAAUCAUCUGGAAAGAUGAAUCAAAGAAGGUAAUAAUCCUGUAGUCGAAAAUGUUGUCUCUCUUGAGUGGAUCCUGAGUACGACGGAGCACGUGAAAUUCCGUCGGAAUCUGGGAGGACCAUCUCCUAAGGCUAAAUACUCUCUAGUGACCGAUAGUGAACCAGUACCGUGAGGGAAAGGUGAAAAGCACCCCGGAAGGGGAGUGAAAUAGAACCUGAAACCGUGUGCUUACAAGUAGUCAGAGCCCGUUAAUGGGUGAUGGCGUGCCUUUUGUAGAAUGAACCGGCGAGUUACGAUUUGAUGCAAGGUUAAGCAGUAAAUGUGGAGCCGUAGCGAAAGCGAGUCUGAAUAGGGCGUUUAGUAUUUGGUCGUAGACCCGAAACCAGGUGAUCUACCCUUGGUCAGGUUGAAGUUCAGGUAACACUGAAUGGAGGACCGAACCGACUUACGUUGAAAAGUGAGCGGAUGAACUGAGGGUAGCGGAGAAAUUCCAAUCGAACCUGGAGAUAGCUGGUUCUCUCCGAAAUAGCUUUAGGGCUAGCCUCAAGUGAUGAUUAUUGGAGGUAGAGCACUGUUUGGACGAGGGGCCCCUCUCGGGUUACCGAAUUCAGACAAACUCCGAAUGCCAAUUAAUUUAACUUGGGAGUCAGAACAUGGGUGAUAAGGUCCGUGUUCGAAAGGGAAACAGCCCAGACCACCAGCUAAGGUCCCAAAAUAUAUGUUAAGUGGAAAAGGAUGUGGCGUUGCCCAGACAACUAGGAUGUUGGCUUAGAAGCAGCCAUCAUUUAAAGAGUGCGUAAUAGCUCACUAGUCGAGUGACACUGCGCCGAAAAUGUACCGGGGCUAAACAUAUUACCGAAGCUGUGGAUUGUCCUUUGGACAAUGGUAGGAGAGCGUUCUAAGGGCGUUGAAGCAUGAUCGUAAGGACAUGUGGAGCGCUUAGAAGUGAUAAUGCCGGUGUGAGUAGCGAAAGACGGGUGAGAAUCCCGUCCACCGAUUGACUAAGGUUUCCAGAGGAAGGCUCGUCCGCUCUGGGUUAGUCGGGUCCUAAGCUGAGGCCGACAGGCGUAGGCGAUGGAUAACAGGUUGAUAUUCCUGUACCACCUAUAAUCGUUUUAAUCGAUGGGGGGACGCAGUAGGAUAGGCGAAGCGUGCGAUUGGAUUGCACGUCUAAGCAGUAAGGCUGAGUAUUAGGCAAAUCCGGUACUCGUUAAGGCUGAGCUGUGAUGGGGAGAAGACAUUGAGUCUUCGAGUCGUUGAUUUCACACUGCCGAGAAAAGCCUCUAGAUAGAAAAUAGGUGCCCGUACCGCAAACCGACACAGGUAGUCAAGAUGAGAAUUCUAAGGUGAGCGAGCGAACUCUCGUUAAGGAACUCGGCAAAAUGACCCCGUAACUUCGGGAGAAGGGGUGCUCUUUAGGGUUAACGCCCAGAAGAGCCGCAGUGAAUAGGCCCAAGCGACUGUUUAUCAAAAACACAGGUCUCUGCUAAACCGUAAGGUGAUGUAUAGGGGCUGACGCCUGCCCGGUGCUGGAAGGUUAAGAGGAGUGGUUAGCUUCUGCGAAGCUACGAAUCGAAGCCCCAGUAAACGGCGGCCGUAACUAUAAAGGUCCUAAGGUAGCGAAAUUCCUUGUCGGGUAAGUUCCGACCCGCACGAAAGGCGUAACGAUUUGGGCACUGUCUCAACGAGAGACUCGGUGAAAUCAUAGUACCUGUGAAGAUGCAGGUUACCCGCGACAGGACGGAAAGACCCCGUGGAGCUUUACUGUAGCCUGAUAUUGAAAUUCGGCACAGCUUGUACAGGAUAGGUAGGAGCCUUUGAAACGUGAGCGCUAGCUUACGUGGAGGCGCUGGUGGGAUACUACCCUAGCUGUGUUGGCUUUCUAACCCGCACCACUUAUCGUGGUGGGAGACAGUGUCAGGCGGGCAGUUUGACUGGGGCGGUCGCCUCCUAAAAGGUAACGGAGGCGCUCAAAGGUUCCCUCAGAAUGGUUGGAAAUCAUUCAUAGAGUGUAAAGGCAUAAGGGAGCUUGACUGCGAGACCUACAAGUCGGGCAGGGUCGAAAGACGGACUUAGUGAUCCGGUGGUUCCGCAUGGAAGGGCCAUCGCUCAACGGAUAAAAGCUACCCCGGGGAUAACAGGCUUAUCUCCCCCAAGAGUUCACAUCGACGGGGAGGUUUGGCACCUCGAUGUCGGCUCAUCGCAUCCUGGGGCUGUAGUCGGUCCCAAGGGUUGGGCUGUUCGCCCAUUAAAGCGGUACGCGAGCUGGGUUCAGAACGUCGUGAGACAGUUCGGUCCCUAUCCGUCGUGGGCGUAGGAAAUUUGAGAGGAGCUGUCCUUAGUACGAGAGGACCGGGAUGGACAUACCUCUGGUGUACCAGUUGUCGUGCCAACGGCAUAGCUGGGUAGCUAUGUGUGGACGGGAUAAGUGCUGAAAGCAUCUAAGCAUGAAGCCCCCCUCAAGAUGAGAUUUCCCAACUUCGGUUAUAAGAUCCCUCAAAGAUGAUGAGGUUAAUAGGUUCGAGGUGGAAGCAUGGUGACAUGUGGAGCUGACGAAUACUAAUCGAUCGAAGACUUAAUCAA
Molecule: ribosomal RNA, 2921 nt
Filed under: Staphylococcus aureus
Lineage: Bacteria; Bacillati; Bacillota; Bacilli; Caryophanales; Staphylococcaceae
Description: bacterial LSU rRNA
Rfam family: Bacterial large subunit ribosomal RNA
Source: RNAcentral